This 406-nucleotide ribosomal RNA is filed under the name uncultured bacterium. RNAcentral's name for it is "partial 16S ribosomal RNA". It matches the Rfam family "Bacterial small subunit ribosomal RNA", at positions 30 to 526 of the family's 1533-position model. The record is from RNAcentral.
AUUGAACGCUGGCGGCAGGCUUAACACAUGCAAGUCGAACGAGUGGCGGACGGGUGCGUAAUGUAUGGGGAUCUGCCUGAAGGAGGGGGAUAACUACUGGAAACGGUAGCUAAUCCCGCAUACCAUCAGAUGAACCCAUAUGGGAUUAGCUGUUGGGUGGGGUAACGGCUCACCUAGGCGACGAUCCCUAGCUGGUCUGAGAGGAUGAUCAGCAACACUGGGACUGAGACACGGCCCAGAAUCCGACGGGAGGCAGCAGUGGGGAAUAUUGCACAAUGGGCGCAAGCCUGAUGCAGCCAUGCCGCGUGUAUGAAGAAGGCAUUCGGGUUGUAAAGUACUUUCAGUCGGGAGGCGUUACCGACAGAAGAAGCACCGGCUAACUCCGUGCCAGCGGCCGCGGUAAUAC